Orcinus orca (killer whale) is the source of this 5247-nucleotide long non-coding RNA. RefSeq lists it as uncharacterized. The transcript is spliced from 2 exons. The record is from RefSeq and is a predicted model, not a curated record. NCBI's taxonomy places the organism in Eukaryota, Metazoa, Chordata, Mammalia, Artiodactyla, Delphinidae.
UCAGCGGGGCGGGCGGGGCGGGCCCUGUGGUAGCCACGGACGGGGGUCUCCUCCCGGUGCCGAGCCGUCCCAACUCGGCCGGGAAGGGCCACCGCAGCGUCGGUAUCUCUGAGAAGCCGGCCCACCCCCGGGUCCCCUCGCACUAGCCUGGCCUCCGUCCUCGGGUGGUCCUCUCGGCUCGCCCCGCACACUCUGCUCACAACUGGGCUUUAACAUGCAACACACUGUUUCGUGAUCGUGGACUAACUGGGCUUCCCGCUCAGGUCGGAAGCAGGUCAACAGCAGGGACGGGUGUCUAAAUUUUUGCAUCUCCAAAUGUUUGUGAAAAGACUGGGUGAGCCCUGUACGUGGGGCCACCCAGGCGGGACGUGGAGAUGUGAAAUGACUGGAAUUUGCGUAAGGCCGCGCGUAUGAUUUCACAUGUGAUAGUUCACUUGACCCCAACAACGGCUUGCCAAGGCAGGGGUGGUUAUUCCUGUCUUACAGAAGGCCGGAAGGGGUUGCCAAAAGUACAUAGCAAAUAGGUUGGGGUUUUGUCUAGGCUUUCUUGUCCAGGGACUGCUUGUUUAUUUUAUUCAUCCGGGGACCCCAGGUCCCAACAGAAUGCUCGACUCGGAACAAGGGCCCAGUAAGUCUGUUGAGGAAGAGACUAGAGGACAGGAGUUGCUGUGACCAUGGCCUAAAUCCAGUCUAGAGGCUCCUGUCCUUAAAGAGGCAGGCCUCUGUUUCUUCCUCCUCAUUGCCAUCCUUUUAUACAGACUUUUUUUUUAUAUAUACAGCAGGUUCUUAUUAUCUAUUUUAUAGAUAUUAGUGUAUAUAUGUCAAUCCCCAGUAUCCCAAUUCAUCCCACCCACCCACCCACCCCCGCUUUCCCCCCUUGGUGUCCAUAUGUUUGUUCUCUACAUCUGUGUCUAUUUCUGCCUUGCAAAUCAGUUCAUCUGUACCAUUUUUCUAGUUUCCACAUACAUGCAUUAACAUACGAUAUUAGUUUUUCUCUUUCUGACAUUUACGUCACUCUGUAUGAUAGUCUCUAGAUCCAUCCACGUCUCUACAAAUGACCCAAUUUCGUUCCUUUUUAUGGCUGAGUAAUAUUCCAUUGUAUAUAUGUACCACAUCUUCUUUAUCCAUUCCUCUGUUGAUGGGCAUUUGGGUUGCUUCCAUGACCUGGCUAUUGUAAACAGUGCUGCAGUGAACAUUGGGGUAUGUGUGUCUUUUUGAAUUAUGGUUUUCUCAGGGUACAUGCCCAGUAGUGGGAUUGCUGGGUCGUAUGGUAGUUCUGUUUUUAGUUUUUUAAGGAACCUGCAUACUGUUUUCCAUAGUGGCUGUACCAAUUCACAUUCCCAUCAACAGUGCAAGAGGGUUCCCUUUUCUCCACACCCUCUCCAGCAUUUGUUGUUUGUAGAUUUUCUGAUGAUGCCCAUUCUAACUGGUGUGAGGUGAUACCUCAUUGUAGUUUUGAUUUGCAUUUCUCUAAUAAUUAGUGAUGUUGAGCAGCUUUUCAUGUGCUUCUUGGCCAUCUGUAUGUCUUCUUUGGAGAAAUGUCUAUUUAGGUCUUCUGCCCAUUUUUUUUUUAUUGGGUUGUUUGUUUUUUUAAUAUUGAGCUGCAUGAGCUGUUUAUAUAUUUUGGAGAUUAAUCCUUUGUCCGUUGAUUCGUUUGCAAAUAUUUUUUCCCAUUCUGAGAGUUGCCUUUUCGUCUUGUUUGUAGUAUCCUUUGCUUUGCAAAAGAUUUUAAGUUUCAUUAGGUCCCAUUUGUUUAUUUUUGUUUUUAUUUCCAUUACUCUAGGAGGUGGAUCAAAAAAGAUCUUGCUGUGAUUUAUGUCAAAGAGUGUUCUUUCUAUGUUUUCCUCUGAGAGUUUUAUAGUGUCUGGUCUUAAAUUUAGGUCUCUAAUCCAUUUUGAGUUUAUUUUUGUGUAUGGUGUUAGGGAGUGUUCUAAUUUAAUUCUUUUACAUGUAGCUGUCCAAUUUUCCCAGCACCACUUACUGAAGAGACUGUCUUUUCCCCAUUGUAUAUCCUUGCCUCCUUUGUCAUAGCUUAGUUGACUGUAGGUGUGUGGGUUUAUCUCUGGGCUUUCUGUCCUGUUCCAUUGAUCUGUAUUUCUGUUUUUGUGCCAGUACCAUACUGUCUUGAUUACUGUAGCUUUGUAGUAUAGUCUGAAGUCAGGGAGCCUGAUCCCUCCAGCUCCGUUUUUUCCCCUCAAGAUUCCUUUGGCUAUUCUGGGUCUUUUAUGUCUCCAUACAAAUUUUAAGAUUUUUUGUUCGAGUUCUGUAAAAAAAAAAAAAAUGCCAUUGGUGGUUUGAUAGGGAUUGCAUUGAAUCUGUAGGUUGCUUUGGGUAGUAUAGUCAUUUUCACAAUAUUGAUUCUUCUAAUCCAAGAACAUGGUAUAUCUCUCCAUCUGUUUGUGUCUUCUUUGAUUUCUUUCAUCAGUGUCUUAUAGUUUUCUGAGUACAGGUCUUUUAUUUCCUUAGGUAGGUUUAUUCCUGGGUGUUUUAUUCUUUUUGUUGGAAUGGUGAAUGGGAUUGUUUCCUUAAUUUCUCUUUCUGGUCUUUCACUGUUAGUGUAUAGGAGUGCAAGAGAUUUCUGUGCAUUAAUUUUGUAUCCUGCAGCUUUACCAAAUUCAUUGAUGAGCUCUAGUAGUUUUCUGGUGGCAUCUUUAGGAUUCUCUAUGUAUAGUAUCAUGUCAUCUGCAACAGUGACAGUUUUACUUCUUCUUUUCCAAUUUGUAUUCCUUUUAUUUCUUUUUCUUCUCUGAUUGCCGUGGCUAGGACUUCCAAAACUAUGUUGAGUAAUAGCGGCGAGAGUGGACAUCCUUGUCUUGUCCCUGAUCUUAGAGGAAAUACUUUCAGUUUUUCACCAUUGAAAAUGAUGUUUGCUGUGGGUCUGUUGUAUAUGGCCUUUAUGAUGUUGAGGGAAGCCCCCAAUGCAGACUUUUUUAAAACAAUAAAACGUGUGUGCAGUUUAGCAACUGACCUCUUUGCAGCGGGAAUUACUCUUAAGAUGUUGCUAACUCAUUUUACAGAUGUCUUUACGUCAGGGUGUAUCUGUGUGCGUGGGUACGUGUGUGUGUGUUUAUAGUUAAGAGAAACAGGAGGCCACCCUGCAGAGUGACACGCGCUAACUGGCAUUUCCAGGAAGAAGCUGUGGGCGACGACUCCUGGGAUGCUGGUCCCAGGGCUGUAGCUUCCCUUCAGGGCUGUGGUGUGACACAUGAUAUAAGCCCUUUCUACUCCAUCACCCAUCUCAUCCGUCUCUUGGUUUCCCAGAAGGUAGAUGUACCAAAUGUGUAGCUUAACAUAGCGUUAUGUGAGUGUACAGUUUUUAUAUUUUUCUUCAAAUCUGUAAUGUCUUAGCAGUAUUCAAGUUUGGGUUUUGUUUUGUUUUGUUAACGUUCUGUAGUACCUCUGGGUGCCCGCCCAGUAAAGUAGCCUUUAUUGUGUCCGGAACACCCUCAUUCAGGUGAAGAGAACGUCUUGCUUGCUCAAUCCCCCCUCGCCCGGUCCAUCACGUUCCCCAUUUUUAGACUUCCAUCAAUCUCUUUCACAUGAAGAGACCUGUUUCUUGGAGAGUGUCAUGUCAGAGCUACUUGGAACCCCUUUUGGACUCAGAUGUCCUUUGGGGGCCUUUCCUAAAAUGAUGCCUUCACGAGGAACGGCUGCUGGAACUGGGUGAAGCAGCAUCGCUCCACACCCUGGCGCUCCGAGGACAGAGGUGUUCUCUGUCCUUCCUGUGAGGUGGGGGCACAGCGGGAGUCAGACAGCUGCGCUGGGAACCAGAAAGUGUGGGUUCAGCUCAGUGUCUUGUAGCGGCGCCCUGGGCUCCUGCCCAUCUCCUCCCCUCUGAGGAUGACCACGGUGCCAUGAAGAAAGCGCGGUGAUGGCACUGGUGCAGGUCCUCUGCAGCCGCAUCACUGCGCCAAGGCUGUGGCUUAACACAGCGGUCGUUUUGUUUGCUCACGGUUCUUCACUGUGGGCCAGCCCAGCUGGACUGUUGCUGCCUUGCCGUUGAUCACUCGUGUGGCUGCGGUCAGCUGCCGUGGGUUCAGGGCCAGGCUCAGCUGGCGUGGCUGGCGUGGCUGACUCCUCUCUCCACGUCAUCUUGGGACGUCUCCCGUCCCCGCCGGGUAGUCUGACCUCUCACAUGGCGGCUCAGGGCUCCUUGGAGCACAAGGGCAGGAGCUGCCAGGCCUUGCUGAGGCACAGACCUGGACCUAGCAGCCCGCCACAUCCACUGCAACCUGCUGAUUCAGUAAGUGGAGCUCAGUGCGGAGUUGUGGGAGAUGCCACACAAGGAGGCGAAUACCUGGAGGCGUGGUUCUGUAGGGGCCCCCAAGGUGACAGCACACAGGCCCCUGCUUGUCCCACUCACCUCCCAGUCGGGAGACAGCACAUGAGAGCUCCUUGGUGCCCACUCCCCUGGGAGCCAUGAAGGGCGGACCCUCUGCCCCACUGCAGCUGCCGGGGACACGGAAGCUGAAGGGAGAGCUGUCCUUUCCCUCCCCAGUUACCUCUGCCUGGAGCGCCAGCUUCACCACUGUCCUGACCUCAGACCCACUCAGCUGGGCUUCUCCCCACUGGGCUUCUGUUACCCAUGGGGUUCAGCCACAGGAUGCCCCCAUUGUAAGUGACCAUUACCCAGGCCCACGGCACUGCCACCGGGGACUGCUGGAGGGACGGGCAGGCCAGAUGUGCCCCCAGAUUUAUGAACUGUUCCGGGACAGCACGUUCAUCAGCUGAAGGGCCACGGCACUCAGGGUUUCUCCCAGCCCUGCCAGGAGUUGUGCCCUCUCAUGUCGUCUGGCGUCGCUCAUUUAUGGGACUCCUCCCGUAAUCACGUUUCACAGAGAAGUGGAACUUUGCCCAUGAAACCUUUGUCCAGUGACGAAAAACUGAUUAAAAAAAUCCUUCCAUCUUAUUUUCUCAGUUGCUGUUGGAGAUGGUGGGUUCAGGUCCCCUCGGCCUGGUCACCAUCAACUGGAACAGAGGGGUCCUUCCACACCCCCAGGGGUAGAGUGUGUGUCUGUAGGGUCUCACAACCAGGGAUUUAGGGUCCCUUCCCCGCAGCUCGGCCCAGCAGUCGAAGUCACAGUCUAGGGUCAGAGGCUGGCCCUGCCUGGCCGGUGUCACUAUUGUGUUACCUACAGGGAGGGGGAGUGCCUGGGUGUCUUCUGGGCAGGUGCCUGGAGGCCCCUCCACGUGCACUCAAUUCACUUCAUUCUCCUUUCGGCGAUUGUGGGUUUCCCGCCCCCGCCC